GAGUUUGAUCCUGGCUCAGGAUGAACGCUGACAGAAUGCUUAACACAUGCAAGUCGACUGGAAUUCUUCUUCGGAAGAUAGUACGGUGGCGGACGGGUGAGUAACGCGUAAAGAAUUUGCCCUUCAGACUGGGACAACUAACCGAAAGGUUAGCUAAUACCGGAUAUUAUGAGACCUUGGCAUCAAGGACUUAUGAAAGCUAUAUGCGCUGAAGGAGAGCUUUGCGUCCCAUUAGGUAGUUGGUAGGGUAAUGGCCUACCAAGCCGACGAUGGGUAGCCGGCCUGAGAGGGUGAACGGCCACAAGGGGACUGAGACACGGCCCUUACUCCUACGGGAGGCAGCAGUGGGGAAUAUUGGACAAUGGACCAAAAGUCUGAUCCAGCAAUUCUGUGUGCACGAUGAAGGUCUUCGGAUUGUAAAGUGCUUUCAGGUGGGAAGAAGAAAGUGACGGUACCACCAGAAGAAGCGACGGCUAAAUACGUGCCAGCAGCCGCGGUAAUACGUAUGUCGCAAGCGUUAUCCGGAAUUAUUGGGCGUAAAGCGAGUCUAGGCGGCUUGUUAAGUCAGAUGUGAAAAUGCGGGGCUCAACUCCGUAUUGCGUUUGAAACAGGCAGGCUAGAGUACUGGAGAGGUGGGCGGAACUACAAGUGUAGAGGUGAAAUUCGUAGAUAUUUGUAGGAAUGCCGAUAGUGAAGACAGCUCACUGGACAGAUACUGACGCUAAAGCUCGAAAGCGUGGGGAGCGAACAGGAUUAGAUACCCUGGUAGUCCACGCCGUAAACGAUGUUCACUGGGNGUAGGGGGUCGAACCNNUGUGCCGANCUACGCGAUAAGUGACCGCCUGGGGAGUACNCCACGCAGUGUGAACUCAAAGA
RNAcentral lists this ribosomal RNA (876 nucleotides) under uncultured bacterium. RNAcentral's name for it is "bacterial SSU rRNA". It matches the Rfam family "Bacterial small subunit ribosomal RNA", at positions 9 to 907 of the family's 1533-position model. The record is from RNAcentral.